UUCAUUAUCUGUAAUUAUUUCGGUUACUGUUUGUUGUUGAUAUUUUUUCUUCGGUGAUCGUGCAGAAUCGUGUCGUCACAAAAGCUCCAAAAUUUAAAUUGGCCGGAAAGAACAACGCGAGCAUUUCCGGGCACAAAAAACAACCAGAGGAGGGAUCGGAAGCGGUAAUUCAAGCAGCGAGCAUAAUCGAAACAAAAUCUUGACCCUGCAGAUCGGAUUCACCCACCUUGCCGACUUGCUUCGUUGAAGAGAUUAUUCCCGCCAAUUAAGCCGAUGAAAUUGCCGAUCGGAAGCAUCUCGCUAAAUUUCCGGCGUUCGUCAGCGAUUUCGACUAGGCUAAAUUUCCGGCGUUCGUCAGCGAUUUCGACUGCGAGGCGUUGCAAAGGGGUGAUUUUUUCUGACAUGGAAACAGAAAGAACGGAAAAACGCAACAG
Uranotaenia lowii is the source of this 434-nucleotide long non-coding RNA. RefSeq lists it as uncharacterized. The transcript has 3 exons. The record is from RefSeq and is a predicted model, not a curated record. Lineage: Eukaryota; Metazoa; Arthropoda; Insecta; Diptera; Culicidae.